This 340-nucleotide ribosomal RNA is filed under the name Vibrio sp. 35B10. RNAcentral describes it as "bacterial SSU rRNA". It matches the Rfam family "Bacterial small subunit ribosomal RNA", at positions 546 to 885 of the family's 1533-position model. The record is from RNAcentral. Lineage: Bacteria; Pseudomonadati; Pseudomonadota; Gammaproteobacteria; Vibrionales; Vibrionaceae.
CGGAAUUACUGGGCGUAAAGCGCAUGCAGGUGGUUUGUUAAGUCAGAUGUGAAAGCCCGGGGCUCAACCUCGGAAUAGCAUUUGAAACUGGCAGACUAGAGUACUGUAGAGGGGGGUAGAAUUUCAGGUGUAGCGGUGAAAUGCGUAGAGAUCUGAAGGAAUACCGGUGGCGAAGGCGGCCCCCUGGACAGAUACUGACACUCAGAUGCGAAAGCGUGGGGAGCAAACAGGAUUAGAUACCCUGGUAGUCCACGCCGUAAACGAUGUCUACUUGGAGGUUGUGGCCUUGAGCCGUGGCUUUCGGAGCUAACGCGUUAAGUAGACCGCCUGGGGAGUACGG